UACGUAGGGGGCAAGCGUUGUCCGGAAUUACUGGGCGUAAAGGGCGCGUAGGCGGCCCGCUAAGUCGAACGUGAAAUCCCCGGGCUCAACCCGGGAACUGCGUCCGAUACUGGCGGGCUUGAAUCCGGGAGAGGGAUGUGGAAUUCCAGGUGUAGCGGUGAAAUGCGUAGAUAUCUGGAGGAACACCGGUGGCGAAGGCGGCAUCCUGGACCGGUAUUGACGCUGAGGCGCGAAAGCCAGGGGAGCAAACGGG
This 253-nucleotide ribosomal RNA is filed under the name uncultured bacterium. Its description in RNAcentral is "partial 16S ribosomal RNA". It matches the Rfam family "Bacterial small subunit ribosomal RNA", at positions 524 to 776 of the family's 1533-position model. The record is from RNAcentral.